Ipomoea nil (Japanese morning glory) is the source of this 154-nucleotide ribosomal RNA. It matches the Rfam family "5.8S ribosomal RNA". From Rfam's summary of the family: 5.8S ribosomal RNA (5.8S rRNA) is a component of the large subunit of the eukaryotic ribosome. It is transcribed by RNA polymerase I as part of the 45S precursor that also contains 18S and 28S rRNA. The record is from Rfam. Lineage: Eukaryota; Viridiplantae; Streptophyta; Magnoliopsida; Solanales; Convolvulaceae.
GACUCUCGGCAACGGAUAUCUCGGCUCUCGCAUCGAUGAAGAACGUAGCGAAAUGCGAUACUUGGUGUGAAUUGCAGAAUCCCGUGAACCAUCGAGUCUUUGAACGCAAGUUGCCCGAAGCCGUUAGGCCGAGGGCACGUCUGCCUGGGCGUCA